Molecule: ribosomal RNA, 384 nt
Filed under: Lindneromyia hungarica
Lineage: Eukaryota; Metazoa; Arthropoda; Insecta; Diptera; Platypezidae
Description: partial 16S ribosomal RNA
Source: RNAcentral
UCGAAGGUAGCAUAAUCAGUAGUCUUUUAAUUGAAGGCUCGUAUGAAUGGUUGGACGAAAUAUUAACUGUUUCAUUUAAAAUUUUUAUAGAAUUUUAUUUUUUAGUCAAAAAGCUAAAAUAUAAUUAAAAGACGAGAAGACCCUAUAAAUCUUGAUAUUUAAAUUAAUUUUAAUUAUAAAGAUUAAUUAAAUUAUAAUUAGUUAAAAUAUUUUAUUGGGGUGAUAUUAAAAUUUAAAAAACUUUUAAUUUUGUUUUUACAUUAAUUUAUGAUUUUAUGAUCCAUUAAUAAUGAUUAAAAAUUUAAGUUACUUUAGGGAUAACAGCGUAAUUUUUUUGGAGAGUUCAUAUUGAUAAAAAAGAUUGCGACCUCGAUGUUGGAUUAA